RNAcentral lists this ribosomal RNA (467 nucleotides) under uncultured bacterium. Its description in RNAcentral is "partial 16S ribosomal RNA". It matches the Rfam family "Bacterial small subunit ribosomal RNA", at positions 28 to 506 of the family's 1533-position model. The record is from RNAcentral.
GACGAACGCUGGCGGCGUGCUUAACACAUGCAAGUCGAACGGAAAGGCCCUGCUUUUGUGGGGUGCUCGAGUGGCGAACGGGUGAGUAACACGUGAGUAACCUGCCCUUGACUUUGGGAUAACUUCAGGAAACUGGGGCUAAUACCGGAUAGGAGCUCCUGCUGCAUGGUGGGGGUUGGAAAGUUUCGGCGGUUGGGGAUGGACUCGCGGCUUAUCAGCUUGUUGGUGGGGUAGUGGCUUACCAAGGCUUUGACGGGUAGCCGGCCUGAGAGGGUGACCGGCCACAUUGGGACUGAGAUACGGCCCAGACUCCUACGGGAGGCAGCAGUGGGGAAUAUUGCACAAUGGGCGGAGGCCUGAUGCAGCAACGCCGCGUGCGGGAUGACGGCCUUCGGGUUGUAAACCGCUUUCGCCUGUGACGAAGCGUGAGUGACGGUAAUGGGUAAAGAAGCACCGGCUAACUACGU